RNAcentral lists this long non-coding RNA (2424 nucleotides) under Nicotiana benthamiana. RNAcentral describes it as "long non-coding RNA (NBEN_LNC023839)". Lineage: Eukaryota; Viridiplantae; Streptophyta; Magnoliopsida; Solanales; Solanaceae. The record is from RNAcentral.
CCGCCUUUGAAACCUCUCGUCUCUCAAAACUCACUCACACCCUCUUGAAACCCUAGCCUAUCUCACAGUUGCCUACCUCAAGUUCACUCCAUUCCGGUCAUGAUACCAUCAUACUCAUCCUCUAUUACUUCUGUGUGCUCAAUAUUUGAAGAACCAAGGCCUUGAACUCCAUGGCUCCCUUUCAGAUCUUCUCAGAUCUAUGGAUCUACGGUUUCUCUGGAAACUAUUCCGGCAUUUGAGCAAUAUGAGUCCUUUCGACUCAAGAUCGGACUUUCCUCAAGACCUUUCUCAUUUCUAGGGUUUUCUUUGCAAUCCAUGGCUAUUCGAGGUUCUUUCUAAUUUUAUUUCUUUAGAUUUAUCACGUUUCUAUGCUCCACUUGAGUUUUCAAACGAUUUCCCUAAUUUUUCAUUCAAAAAUUCCUUUUUAGACCUUUCUUUUUCCGAUAUAUGAUUUUCUAAAAUGUUUGAGUGAUUUCUGAAUCUCCUUUUCCUUUAUGUGUACUUGCUCUUACUGUGUUCUUGUAUUCUUCCUUUUACCGUGCUUUUGUAUGACUAUUUUACUGUGUUCUUCUAUAUGUGUUUUUUGCUAUAAUUUUUUCUGAUGUUCUUGUGUUCUUCUACUGCACUUUUCUACUAAGUAUGAUGACUUAUUUAUUUGUCCUUUUAUGGACUUUGUUUGAAGUUGUUUCUAGACAUGUUUCAUCUACAGUUUUCUUAAAUUUACACUACCUCUUUGUCCUCUUAAAUUUUCUCAAGACAUAUUCCUUAUGCUUCAAAUCAGCUUUUGCAUUGUGGUUGUUCGAACCUGCUAUUUUACUUACUUGUUGUCUCAUUAUUCUCUAAAAGAGACUUUCGCGCCCAUUUCAGUUAUUUGCCUUCUCGUCUCUAUAUCUGAUUCGAGUCGAAAACCCUAAGAUUUGGGGUUUUUGGCGAGCUUGGUAUUGUGUUUGGACUAGGAUUCUAUUAUGGGAACCUGGAUUCUCUAAAUAUAAGUCUAAGCCUAAGUACUGAAUCUGAGCCUCUUUGUUUGUGGCUCUGAACCUUUCUAUACUAGAUCCUUUCUAAUUAGCUUGAUAGUUUUUUCUUGUUUGACAUGUUUGUAUGUGUUAUAUAUGAGAGAUUCUUCCUUCAAAAAGGUUUUACCAACUUGUGAUUGAUUCAGAAUUCCUUUUAAUAAGGUUCGAUUGAUUUUUACUGAUUUAAUUAAACCUUUCAUCACCUUUUCUAGUUAGAUUUAUUCACACCAAAACUCAAUUUUUGAUUUUUACUAGCCGUUGAUUGAUUCCCUUCCCAUAUUUGUCCCCAACCGUGUACUAUUGAAUGCUUUCCUUAAAUGAUUUCUAUGUAUCUACCCAUUUUGUGCUACUUUGAAAAGGUUUUAAUCAAAACCUCUUUCCUUAAUUGGUUCAACCCGUUGAGAUUAGAAUCCCUUAACUGAAGGGAGAUUGAUUCCAAUGAAUAUUCCCUUGCCAUUUUUACUUUCUUUUUUGCACUAUAAAAUGGGGCACGACCCUUCUAUGCCCAUCAUCGAUUAUUGAACAUUUAAAAUUCAAUAUUCUCACAUUCUCUAUUAGGAUAAUAUUUCAAUACUAUACUCUCUUCUAAGGUCUCUUGAACUGUUUGCAAACAAUUCGUCUUACAAGACUCCUGCUUUCCCUUAUUUGUUUCCCUGAAACUGGUAUGUCUCAAUUUUGAUUUCAACCUCUUCCCUAUGUGUUUACUUUACAGUUACUAUACUCCUGUCUACUUUGCUGUUCAUGUUCUGCAAUGAAUGUGCUACUUUCUCAUUGCAUAUGCUAUUUUCAUGAAUUCCCCAUACCCCCACCCCUUAUAUGUGUGAGUUAAGGCUCAUGGCCUGACAGUAUCUAUAUUGCUGCCCAGGUUUGAACCUGAUCCACAAUGGAUCCUAACUCAUAAGAUUGAGCUAUCAUGCUGGUUAGGGUGUGCCAGUACACCUAAGCUAGGCAUGACCACCAGUCUGCCCUGGCUUUCCCUAAUUACCUCUUUAUGCACUUGCACUUAUUAUUAGAAUCUAAGCUCUGACCCCCUCUUAUAAGCCUUCUUUUGGGACCCUGAGUUCCUUCUAAACUUGGACAUUAGAGGGCUGGCCCUUCCACAUUGCAGUUUGAUCCAACCCUGCUAUGUAUUUGGGGUGUAACCACUACCCGGAGCCCUUUGAGACUCCUAGGAACUUUGACACAUCCCAAAUAAGAGAAAGGGCUUUUCAAAAUCUAAUCCUGGAAGUUGUUUUAUCUUAUAUUGUUAGACUUUAAGUCUGAAUUAGGCUGUUUGGAUGUACUUUGAUUUCUUAUGUAAUUUUUACUUUUCUGAUUCAUUUUGGUCUGUAAUAAUUUGUAAUAACUAUGGGGAUGGAUAGUGGAAAGGGAUAGAUAUGAAUGUAUGCAAAAGGUAGAUCACUUGCCU